Molecule: ribosomal RNA, 377 nt
Filed under: uncultured bacterium
Lineage: Bacteria
Description: bacterial SSU rRNA
Rfam family: Bacterial small subunit ribosomal RNA
Source: RNAcentral
UAAUACGUAGGGGGCAAGCGUUGUCCGGAUUUAUUGGGCGUAAAGAGCGUGUAGGCGGCCAGACAGGUCCGUUGUGAAAACUCGAGGCUCAACCUCGAGAUGUCGAUGGAAACCGUCUGGCUAGAGUCCGGAAGAGGAGUGUGGAAUUCCUGGUGUAGCGGUGAAAUGCGCAGAUAUCAGGAAGAACACCUAUGGCGAAGGCAGCACUCUGGGACGGUACUGACGCUGAGACGCGAAAGCGUGGGGAGCGAACAGGAUUAGAUACCCUGGUAGUCCACGCCGUAAACGAUGGAUGCUAGGUGUGGGCGGUGUCGACUCCGUCCGUGCCGAAGCUAACGCAUUAAGCAUCCCGCCUGGGGAGUACGGCCGCAAGGCUA